GACGAACGCUGGCGGCGUGCUUAACACAUGCAAGUCGAACGCUGAAGCUUGGUGCUUGCACUGGGUGGAUGAGUGGCGAACGGGUGAGUAAUACGUGAGUAACCUGCCCUUGACUCUGGGAUAAGCCUGGGAAACUGGGUCUAAUACUGGAUACGACAUGCCACUGCAUGGUGGUGUGUGGAAAGGGUUUUACUGGUUUUGGAUGGGCUCACGGCCUAUCAGCUUGUUGGGGGGGUAAUGGCCUACCAAGGCGACGACGGGUAGCCGGCCUGAGAGGGUGACCGGCCACACUGGGACUGAGACACGGCCCAGACUCCUACGGGAGGCAGCAGUGGGGAAUAUUGCACAAUGGGCGGAAGCCUGAUGCAGCGACGCCGCGUGAGGGAUGACGGCCUUCGGGUUGUAAACCUCUUUCAGCACGGAAGAAGCGAGAGUGACGGUACGUGCAGAAGAAGCGCCGGCUAACUACGUG
Molecule: ribosomal RNA, 472 nt
Filed under: uncultured bacterium
Lineage: Bacteria
Description: partial 16S ribosomal RNA
Rfam family: Bacterial small subunit ribosomal RNA
Source: RNAcentral